RNAcentral lists this ribosomal RNA (253 nucleotides) under uncultured bacterium. RNAcentral describes it as "partial 16S ribosomal RNA". It matches the Rfam family "Bacterial small subunit ribosomal RNA", at positions 524 to 776 of the family's 1533-position model. The record is from RNAcentral.
UACGUAGGGGGCAAGCGUUGUUCGGAAUUACUGGGCGUAAAGGGCUCGUAGGCGGCACAGCAAGUCGGGAGUGAAAGCCCGGGGCUCAACCCCGGAAUGGCUUUCGAAACUGCUGAGCUAGAGUACAGAAGGGGCAACCGGAAUUCCCAGUGUAGCGGUGAAAUGCGUAGAUAUUGGGAAGAACACCUGAGGCGAAGGCGGGUUGCUGGGCUGAUACUGACGCUGAGGCGCGAAAGCCAGGGGAGCAAACGGG